This 207-nucleotide ribosomal RNA is filed under the name uncultured bacterium. Its description in RNAcentral is "partial 16S ribosomal RNA". It matches the Rfam family "Bacterial small subunit ribosomal RNA", at positions 568 to 774 of the family's 1533-position model. The record is from RNAcentral.
CACGUAGGCGGAUUGGUCAGUUAGGGGUGAAAUCCUGGAGCUCAACUCCAGAACUGCCUUUAAUACUGCCAGUCUCGAGUCCGGAAGAGGUAAGUGGAACUCCUAGUGUAGAGGUGGAAUUCGUAGAUAUUAGGAAGAACACCAGUGGCGAAGGCGGCUUACUGGUCCGGUACUGACGCUGAGGUGCGAAAGCGUGGGGAGCAAACA